UACGUAGGGGGCAAGCGUUAUCCGGAUUUACUGGGUGUAAAGGGCGUGUAGCCGGGCUGACAAGUCAGAUGUGAAAUCCCGUGGCUCAACCACGGAACUGCAUUUGAAACUGUCGGUCUUGAGUAUCGGAGAGGUAAGCGGAAUUCCUAGUGUAGCGGUGAAAUGCGUAGAUAUUAGGAGGAACACCAGUGGCGAAGGCGGCUUACUGGACAGUAACUGACGCUGAGGCGCGAAAGCGUGGGGAGCAAACAGG
RNAcentral lists this ribosomal RNA (253 nucleotides) under uncultured Oscillospira sp. RNAcentral's name for it is "partial 16S ribosomal RNA". It matches the Rfam family "Bacterial small subunit ribosomal RNA", at positions 524 to 776 of the family's 1533-position model. Lineage: Bacteria; Bacillati; Bacillota; Clostridia; Eubacteriales; Oscillospiraceae. The record is from RNAcentral.